GGGAUCAUUACACAACAAAAUAU
Molecule: ribosomal RNA, 23 nt
Filed under: Bipolaris sorghicola
Lineage: Eukaryota; Fungi; Ascomycota; Dothideomycetes; Pleosporales; Pleosporaceae
Description: partial 18S ribosomal RNA
Source: RNAcentral